AUAACGUGGCGGACUCAUUCACUAAGCAGCUGAGUCAGAAGAAAUUAGAAGUCCAUCUUGAAAAAAUGGGACUUAAAUAUAUGUCUGAUUGGCUUUAGUGCAAGUGGGAGAUUGUCAGAAGUAUGCUCUAGAAGCCAACGUGGCUGAUGCAUAUUUGUAAUCUGGGGCAUAAAUUUGUAAUUUGACACUUAUUAAUAAAUAAGAUUGGGCAAUUUAUUUUUUAUUUAUGUUUGUAUGUGUCCAUGAAUCAUCCAA
RNAcentral lists this long non-coding RNA (255 nucleotides) under Phoenix dactylifera (date palm). Its description in RNAcentral is "long non-coding RNA (PDAC_LNC010743)". The record is from RNAcentral. Lineage: Eukaryota; Viridiplantae; Streptophyta; Magnoliopsida; Arecales; Arecaceae.